GAGCGAGACUCCGUCUCAAAAAAAAAAAAAAAAAAAAAAAAGAAAAAAAAAUUGCUCCGAGAAGCAAGCCUUCUCUGAACCUUAGUCUAGACUAAGUUUCUUUACUCUGCAUUUUCAUAGAAAGUAUUUCUUUACUUCAUAGAAUUCACCUCAGUCUGCAGUUGGUUGAUGACUUGGUUAGUGUCUAUCUCCAUCCCAAAAUCGUUUCAUGAAAGAUGAACAGCAUCUGUUUUUGUCUAUCACUGAAUUCCUAGCCUAGCACAGUGCCAGUCACAAAAGGGGCACUCAAAAAAUUUUUAAACAAUGGAUCAAUCAGUCCACUAAGGCUCUUGCUCAGUUGCUUCAUUUGAAAAGCCUUGAUACCAUCAUCACCACUAUCAUCUUAUAUACCUUCUUUGGAAAAAUGUCUAUUCAAUUUCUUUGCCUAUUUUUUAAGUGGGUUGUUUUUAUCUUUUUGUUGUUGAGUAGUAAGCAUUCUUUUAUAUUCUGGAUACUAGGCUCUUAUCAGAUAUAUGAUUUGCAAGUAUUGUCUCCUAUUCUGUGCACUCUCUUUUCACUUUCUUGAUAGUGUCCUUUGAAGCACAAAAACGUUUAAUUUUGAUGAAGUUCCAUUUAUUCCUUUUUUCUUUUGUUGCUUGUGCUUUUUGUGUCAUACGUAAGAAACCAUUGCCAAAUACAAGAUCAUGAAAAUUUACCCCUAUGUUUUUGAUCCAUAAAGUUCUUUUGACUUUUAAAAUUCUAUAAGAUAAGUCAAUACUGGUCGCCUAUUACACACAAAGAACUAUUGGGAUUUCAGGGGAAACUGGAUAUUGGAGACUCAAGCAUCAGAAUGGAUAAGGCAUCAUUUUAGUGUUAGAAUCAGAUCCCAAGAUGGAAACUUCAGAAAUGCCAGGAUGUGCAGGAUGUGAUUGAGUUAUAUGUAGACAAAGAGAUUUGGGAUAGAAGUGUUUAAAUAUAGAGUCCAAGGUAACUUAACAGACCUCUAAUUAAAACAAUGAAAGCAAAAUUCCGAAAUACAUAAAGGCAAAUAAUAAGCUCUGAAGAAAACUGGAAAAAGUCUGACAAAUUCCAAGCCUUGCUUGAACUAAAGAACACAAUGCUAUUUGUGUAGAGGGAAAAUGUUAACAAAUGCUACAUAAAGUUGUGGCCUGAAUAUAGAAAAAGCCAUCCUAGAUAGUUCAGGAAAAGGAAAAAACUUAGUUUCUAAUUUAGCUCUAAGCAAGAUAAGAGAAAGACUUGCCUGAUACAUAGUAAAUGCUAAGUAAAGAGUUUGUUGGAUGUAAAAUAAAAUUCCUGAAAGAAUAAUGGAAUAUCCUGUGCAGAGUAAAUGCUCAAUCAUGUAUUUGUUGAAUAAAAAGUAAAACUUAUAGAAAAUAAGUGAAUUUGAUGUGACCGAUAUAAAUGCUCCUCCAUUGAGAAAUGACAUUUCAAAGUAAAUUGUUAAUCAAGAAUAAGUAAAUAACCACAUUUCAUAGAGUGGCAUCUCUGAAAAGAAACAAAAAGAAAAGAAGGAAGAAAGCAAGCAAGUAACUAACCUACUUGUGAGUCUAUAGGCAUGAUGUUAGGCCAAAAAAAAAAAAAACAACUGUCUUGUGAAAGAUAAAUUAUUCAGACCACAGGGAUAUAGCCAUUUACUACAGGAGGAGGAAAAAACAAAAUCAUAAUAAUAGUCUAGUGUUAUUCUUAUUUAAAUAUGUUAACUUAGAAUAAACAUACUAUUUCCUUCUCUCUUCCCUUCUCUCCUGUCCUCUCCUACGGGCUCCUCUCCACACCUUUUCUAUCUUCCUUUUGUGUUCUAAAGAAUCUUUUAGCAAUAACAGGACAAGGAUAAAGAUAUGGGAGUGAUAUUGUUUAUUACCUGUGAACAGUAGUUUAUACUACUGUUAAUAAUCGUGUAUAUAUACCAGGUUUCUGUUUUGUUGAAUUAAUUAAGGCAGAGAAGUCAAAUAAUAACCCCUUAAAACAUUCUGUAUCACGACCUUGGUGGUGGUUUCAGUACUCCACAGAUUUGUCAGAACUCAUCAAAUUUUACACUUAAGUAUAUAUUAUACCUCAAUAAAGCUG
This 2064-nucleotide long non-coding RNA is filed under the name Homo sapiens (human). RNAcentral's name for it is "long non-coding RNA NONHSAT219114.1". The record is from RNAcentral. Lineage: Eukaryota; Metazoa; Chordata; Mammalia; Primates; Hominidae.